This 11092-nucleotide long non-coding RNA is filed under the name Gossypium barbadense (sea-island cotton). Its description in RNAcentral is "long non-coding RNA (GBAR_LNC011925)". The record is from RNAcentral. Lineage: Eukaryota; Viridiplantae; Streptophyta; Magnoliopsida; Malvales; Malvaceae.
AACCCAAAUUUCAAUACAACCCAAUAGCCCAGUUACAAGCCCAUAACCUAACCCAAAUACCCCGGCCCAAAUGGCCCAAAAUUCAAAACAAACUUCAGCCAACUCAGAACCCUAGGGUUUCUGCUAGGCGCCGCAGUAGCCACCAAGCAACCCUUCGUCCUCACCGCCAGCGUAGCAUCAUACGACCACCAAGCUCCGUACAUUAGUACCUGCGCACAAAUGCAAAAAAGACAGCACGACAAAAAGAAAAACAGAUAGCAUAAAAGUUUGUUGUAUUUUUUUAUCUUUUUUCGGCUAUAAAGCCACAAAGAUUAUCAAUUGUAAGGGGUUCACAGAGAUUACGCAAAAAAAAGAAAUCAAUACAAACGAAAAGUUUGAAACAAUACUCAAAAAGAUCGAAGGUGGUUCUCCGAUUGAGAUUCUCCCUUUUGUUUUUUUAUUGUUAUUUUCUUUUUUUCUCUUUGCUUUGGUAGAUAAAAAUUUUAGCAAAAUAAAGGAGAAGAAAACUUACCUGCGUUUGAGGGGUUUCAGACUGGUGCCACGACGGAGGCGAAGGCGCUGAGCACAGAUAAACAUCGAAAUCGGCGAAGACCGAGGCGUUGUGGGCGUCGUUCCCCUCUCCCCCUCUUCUCCCUUUCGUCUAUCCUUUCUUUAGUCUGUUGAAGCAUUUAGGUCUUAGGUUUUUUCUUUCUUUUUAUUGAUUAACAGCGAAACGGCACCGUUUGGGACAUUGAGGGUCCGUAUGCCAACCCGGAAAGCGACCCGGAUCCGCUCUUUCUCAUGCAGAACGGGGAAUUUGCGCCCCAGGUCCUCCACAUUCACGCGAGCUUUCAAUUGCGCCUUAUGCACCGUGCUCCUUUUUUUUUUUUGAUUUGGACUUGUGAUUUGUACCUUAUUGCAAUUUGAUCCGCGCUUAAACACUGCGUUUUGGGGGAUGGAUUAUUUCCAUCUUAAAUCCCUACGCAUUUACUCGUGUUGCAUAUCAGUCCUUUAUGGUUACUGCUUUAUUUUCAAAUUAUCUCUCUUGUUUUAAUUAAACUUUAAUUUAGUCUUCUUAGUAUAGCCUAUUAUUUAGCAACAUGUUCAAUGUUUGAAUGUGUGUGGACUUAUUUUAAUAUCCUAUACAAUAUUAUGUAUUUCUAUAUAUAUAUUAUUAAAUCCAUGUAUUUUAUACAUGUAGUUCUCCUUAUAUAUAUAAGUAUAUUUUUAAAUCAUUUAUGCAUAUAAUAUAUAAUGUAACUAAUUUAUAAUUUAUCCCUAUACAUAUUAUCAUACCUAUGUUAUUUUACAUGUAUUUGUUUUUUUUUUAAAUCUAUAUGAAUGUAUAUUAAUACACUUGUUACUUUAAUAGAUUUCUUAUUUUAAAAUACUUUUUGCUUUAUGAUUUAUUAAUCAUUCUCUUUAUAUAUAUAUAUAUAUAUAUAAUUUGUUUAUACACAAUUUAUCUCUUUUAGAGGUCUUUAUUUUUUUACAUCCUCAUCUGUCACUUUUAUAUAUGUAUUAAUUCUAUUAAGCUUUUAUUUUAUGUGUUAUAUUUUUUAAGGCAAUACAUUUUGUUUAGAUUAUUCGGUAUUUCAUAUUUAUUUUCAUGCAAUAUUUAUUUUAGAGUUCUUCCACAGAUUAUUACUUAUUUUCAAUAUAUACUUUACUUCAAAUUUCCUCAUGCGUUGCCUAGUUUUAAAAUUUUUUUAGGUUAAAAUUAUAUACAUGUAUUGGUUUCAAAAUUUUUUUCAGUCAUUUAUUUUAAAUCUACUUAUUAUCAUUCUAAAAUUUGUUCAUAUUAAUUUCCCAUGUAUAUAUUGUUUUAUUAUACAUUGAGUUGAUAUUCUGUCAUGCAUAUUGUUUAUUCUCUAUUUUUAUUAUAUCUUCAUUAUAUUGUUUACAUUGAUUUUUAUUCUUGUAUAUAUAUAUAUCAUUACCUUUAAAUAGAUAUGUUUUUUUUAAAUAUAUUUUUGCAUGCCAUUUGUUCCAAAUUUCUUCUUUCACAAUGUUUAUUUUAAUAUUAUUUAUUAGUUUUAUUUUUAUAUAUGCAAAUCAUUUCAAACCCUUUCAUAUGUUGCUCAUUUGUAAUUUUUCAUAUUAAAUAGUUUUCAAAUUGUUUUCAUGUUGUUUUGUAUAUUGUUUAUAUUGUUUUGUUAUAAAUUUGUUUUCAUACUUAUAUAUAUGUAAAUGUUUCUUAUAUUAUCAGUUUUGAAUGGUUGAACAUCGUGUUUUUACAUGCAUUGUUGACCUUCUAUUGUUUUAUGUGUUUUCCUUUAAAUUUAUUUCAUUGUAUAUUUCCUUUUAAAUCAAUUAUAUAUAUAUAUGUCGAAACCAUUUUUAAAUUGAGUUUUGGAAAAUGGGAAUCGACUUUAAGAAAAAUGAAAACAGGAGUCGGCACCAAUCUUUUUAGGUGUGAUUGGAUCACCUUAUAAAAUGUUUUGUUUUAAAACAUUAAUUUUGGUCUACGAAAGUCGAGAAAAUGGAUUCGGGAGUCGGUUAGGUACGAGGAAGGGUUAGCACCCUCGUAACGCCCAAAAAUUGGUACCUAAUUGAUUAUCAAGUGUUUUUAAUGUCGGAAAUUUGAAAGUUUUAAGAUGCAAACCUCUUUUAAUUAGAAUGUCUCAAUUUUGAAAACUAAGGCUCACUUAUUUCAAACGAGUCAAAACAUCACAUCCAGUAAGUUAGGACGCAACAUUUUAAAACCUUCAAAACUAAGCUCGUCUUUCGAAAAUUUCUAUCUCGAAACAACAAAACGUCAUAUCCAGUAAGUUAGGACAUUAUGUUUUGAAAUCUCGAAAUAAUUGUUUAAGUUUUGAAAACUCAAAAUCACUUAGAAGGGUGCUUGACUAUUCGAAUUCAACGAGAAAAGUCGCAACCCAAUAAGUUAAAGUUUUCAAACAUCAAGCAUUGCCUUUUAAUUUUUUUUAAAAAAACCUUGGAAUAUUAUUUUUAAAUGACGUUUUAGGAUGACAUAUUAAUGCGUCAUGAAGCAUAGAUGUACAAAAUAUUCUAACAUUUCCAUACAAACAUAAAUAAUAUCAUUAUGACAAAACUAAAUAACAUGAACAUACGUUUAAUGAAAAAAAUCAUACUAGGGUAAAUAUAAGAUAAUAAACAAAUAAAAACAUGAGUAAACUAAAAGAAAAACAUAAUACAUGCAAAAAUUAUACAACAAUAUAUAUCAUAAAAUAACACAUAAAAGAAAUAAUUAAACAUAGCAUAUAAAAAAAAUGAAACUAUGCACAAAUAAGAUAAAUGACAUACACAAAAAAAUGAAUAAAUAGAACAUUUACAAAUUAUAAAAAUAUAAUGCAAUAGUUCAAAAUACAUGAAAUGAUAAUAUAAUAUAUAUAUGCAUAGAAAAUAUAUAUUUGAAAAUAAACUAUAUAAAAAGGUUAAAUAUUAUAAUAUAUAAAAUACAUAAUCAAAUGUAUAAAAUAUAUGAAUAAAUAUAAAUAUUUGAAAAAUGAAGAAAUUAAAAUAAAAAAAGGUUGAAAAACUAAUAUAGACGAAGAAUAAAAUAAGAACAGACCACAGAGAGUAAGAACGCAAGAAUGAGAGAAAUUUGAGUGAAUGCUUUUAAGAAUUCUUACUGCUUCUCAAAACUCAAGUCAUUUACAAUGAAGGGAGAGGCAUCUAUUUAUAGUUGAGCCUCCCCAAAUCCAACGGUACAGGUCAAUUACAUUAACGGUUAAGAUUAAAAGAUAUCUACAAAUUAAAUCUCCAAGAUUACAAGAUCAUAUCUUCAAGAUUGCAUAUCGUAUCUAAGAUUGCAUAUCAUAUCUAAGAUUGUAUCAUAUCUAAGAUUGCAUAUCAUAUCUAAGAUUGCAUAUCCUUAAAGAUUAUAUUUCCAUAUGAGUCAAGCUUAUAGAUGGACCUUAAAUCCUUUCAAGUAAUGGGCCAUUCCGAUUGGGCCAAAUUAUAAGUUUGUAAUUUUGUACUGGACUUGUACUUUGUUUUAUUUUUAUUUUUUAGGGGUUUAUUAUUUUAAAUACUAAGAUGGGCCGGGCAAAAAUGGGUUAUUACAGCUGCCCCUCUUUGCUCAUUGUCGUGUAACGAGAAUAGAGCAAAGACUAUAAAAGGACUCAUUUUUCCCGGUCUCAUCAGCUUCAGACUUCAUGGUCCUCAAUCUGCUCCUUGCAAACUCAGGAUUGUCAUGUUGAUAUCUUCGAUCUGCUCUCCGUCGAACACAGAGACGCCAAAUCUGCUUCUUCAAUUUGUUUUCUGGCAAAACAAAGAUGCCAAAUCAUCUUAAAUCUGCGUCAGCGUAAAUACGUGAAAGCCAAAUCUGCUGUGUCUUUGAUUUGCUCCUUGUAAACACAAGGAUGCCAAAUCAUCUUGGAUCUGCUUCAAUAAAAUCAUCUGAAGGUUAGAUCUGCUAUGUAUCUGCUCUCCGUCGAAAUAGAGAUGCCAGAUCUGUUAUCUUUGAUUUGUUCCCUAUAAACACAGGGAUGCCAUAUCUUCGAUUUGUUCCCUAUAAACACAGGGAUGACAUGCUGAAAUCUUCGAUCUGCUUUGCUAUAAGCAUAGGAAUGUCAGAUCUGCUAUCUUCGAUUUGUUCCCUAUAAACACAGGGAUACCAAAUCUGCUAUCUUCAACUUGUUCCCUAUAAACACAGGGAUGCCAUGCUGAAAUCUUUGAUUUGCUUUGCUGUAAUCACAGGAAUGUCAGAUCUGCUAUCUUCGAUUUGUUCCCUAUAAACACAGGGAUGCCAAAUCUGCUAUCUUCAACUUGUUCCCUAUAAACACAGGGAUGCCAUGUUGAAAUCUUCGAUCUGCUUCGCUGUAAUCACAGGAGUGUUAGAUCUGUUAUCUUCGAUUUGUUCCCUAUAAACACAGGGAUGCCAUGUUGAAAUCUUCGAUCUGCUUCGCUGUAAGCACAGAGUGUCAGAUCUGCUAUCUUCAACUUGUUCCCUAUAAACACAGGGAUGCCAUGUUGAAAUCUUCGAUCUGCUUCGUUGUAAGCACAGAGUGUCAGAUCUACUAUCUUCAAUCUGUUCCCUAUAAAUACAGGGAUGCCAAAUCUGCUAUCUUCAACUUGUUCCCUAUAAACACAUGGAUGCCAUGCUGAAAUCUUCAAUCUACUUCGCUGUAGGCACAGGAGUGUCAGAUCUGCUAUCUUCGAUCUGUUCCCUAUAAACACAGGGAUGCCAAAUCUUGUUUCUCUGAUAUACAUUGUCCCAUAAAAGAAAAAACCUGUAGAAUGCGUAUGAGUUCAUGCCUAAUAAUUAGGAUGCUAUGAUCGAAGUGAGUCAAAUUCUCCUAAUUAGACAUGUUAUAAUGCAAAAUGUUAUGAAUAUGACCCCUAUUUCGGACGUCAUCACUUAUUCCCUCAUCGAAGUUUUCCUUACUUCUCUCGAAGUCUCAUUCCUACUCAGCUUGUGGGUUUGUACCAUUCUUCAAAUGCUAUGACCUGCUAAAAAUGUUUGUAAGAUGAUCCUCUCUCAGGAUCGAAUUGUUUGAUUUGUUCAACCAUCAUUUAGACUGAAGAAGAAAUUUUAGUUUCCCCGAGUACAUCCGACCCUCACAUAUGGGAAUUCUUUAAACAAUUGUCCUGUUUCAGUUUCUUGUAUUAUCUAGAAAUUUCCAGAGUAAUAUGCAAAACUUCAUUUGUAAAGAUAUUUAGUUCAUCAGUCAUUGUUUCUAUGCAACAUACUUUAUGAAUAAUGGAGGACGAAUAAAUUGAUCUUGAGGAUAAUUUGAAUGAUUUAUCAAAAAACAAAGGACGUUAAUCUAUCUUUAAGAAGAAAGAGAAUCCAAAGAUAGUAAACAGGACAAAAAAAAUCAGAUGCCCCAGAUAUCACAGCUUAGGCUUCCGUAUGCGAACUCCGUGAAGGCUGUUUUGAGUUUAACAUGUGUUUAAAAGAUCCAAAGUAGUUUGUUGAUGCCCCGGUAUGUAACAUAUUUCACUUCUUGUCGAAUCUAGUAUAGCAAGAUCACUGCACGCCUUUUAAAAUUUGAGCUGCCCUUUCGGGUUUUCAACUCAAAACCCCUUUGGUCUCAAGGCGCCCUUUGCGGGUUUUCACCUUGGCCUCUCCAUUUUUUCUUUUUUAUUCUUUUUAUUAUUUUUUUCUUUUUCUUUUUUUUUUUGAAAUAGAAGUCCCAAAGUGCCCUUUGCGGGUUUUCACCUUGGCUUCCCUUCUCCUUCAGACAAAAUACUCCUUGACCGAGUCUGAAUUCACUGGAUCAGAUAAAUUCUUCCUAUCCAUUUCUUGUCAAAAUCAAUGGACCUCUAGAGAAAGCCCUCUUCGCAACAUAUGGCCCUUCCUAAUUCAGCAUCCUUUUGCAUGGGAAGGAUCUCUUUUACUACAAGGUUUCCUUUAUGAAAUUCUUUUGGACGAACCUUCUUUGUCAUAAGUCUGUGUCAUCCAUUCUUGGUACAUUUGCUUAGGAAGAAUACUUUCAAGUUAAGUUUACUAGAGGUGUUCAAUUCUUGACUCCAUCAAAGCUUGGAGGAAAAAUCUUGAUUCAUAAACCCAUGAGAAAGGGAUUGCCCCAGCAGCAAUCCUGGCUGUUGUUUGUCAAACCCUACAAAAAGAUGGUUCAAUGAUUCUCAGCAGACAAGAAUGAAGUUGCUGGCUUUAUCCUUCAACCUGGAAAGCUGAGAUACAGAGAUUACUCUCGGAGCAUACAUCCCACCAUGACUCGAUGAUGUUUCUGAAGCAUCCCUAAUCUUCAUAAAUUGUCCCCAACUGUGAAGCUGCCAAAUGAGCGUAGCAAAUAGGAGCCACAAAAAAUAUGGCUGUGGUGCUCCUUUGAUACAUAUAGGAUAGAGAAUAAACAAACUCUUGCAGAUCAUCAGCCGAAAACCCAGCCUGGUCUAAGAGAACAUGAUAGUGGGUCAGCCUCGUGAUUCCAAUCAUUCCAGCAUGGGUACCAAGGUAAAAAUCAUUGUUCUUUGGAUGGCAUACUUUGUUGUCAAUGACAGUACCAUGUAGCACAUUGUCAGGAGAUCCCUGCUAAAAAAAACUUGGUAUGAUGGUUUUUCGUACAACAAUAACCACAAUCUUUAGGGUUCCACUUCUCGUCAAGGAACUUGCAAGCCUCAAUAACUUGAUCAAAACUUGAUUGAAUGCUAACCCCAUCCCUGAAAAUAAUGAUUUGAUCAGGUUUCCUCUUCCCUGAACUUGUAUAGAAGUCUAUGAUACCGUCAUCCACUUUGUCAGAAACUUGUUUUGAAGAAAGAAUCUAUCAUUUUAAGCUUUGGAGACUGUGUACGGCCUGAUGCCCCAUAGCUGGAAAUCAAUGGCCACCGUCUAGAGCUAACCAUCGCAACUGUUGACGGCACAUCAGACUGCUCAGGAAAGCCAAACAAUGCACCCAUUCCAAGGAUGAUGGUUAGAACCUUUAAAACAAUUGGAAUUGAAGGUGUUUGCCCCAGCGUAAGCAUAGAGAGUGGGCGGUAGUUUCUUAUGCCAAUUUUUACCAGUCUCGGUCAUCUUCUGUAAUUUGUUUUUUUCUUCUUUUUCUUUUCUUUUGGCAACCUUUGUUGUACUGUGGUAUGGCACAUUAUCUUUGAAAAGAUUGCAAACUUUUGGCAUUGUGCAGUUAUAUAUAAUCUUCUUCUUUUUUUUUUUUGAAAUGGAUGACUUUUGACUUUGUAAUAUUGGCAUAUAAAGCUAUCUCCCCCUCUUAAUGGAGUAGUUAAUGUCCACAAAGAUGAGUCAUUGUCAGCUUGAAACUUUUGACGAGCUCGGGCCUAUAACAUACAUGCCCCAUAAGUCUUGACUCCUUUAAAUUUGGCAUUCAUUGUACAACUGAUGCGAUCCAUUUCUAUGAUGGACUAACAAUGCCCCAAAACCUCAUGUUUAUCCUGGCAAUUGCAAAUCCUCCUGCAUGCGUCUUUGGACCACAUUUUUGAAUUCUCAAAAUAGUCUCAACAAGGUCUUGUUUUGUCUCCUCAGCUAAUUCCAAUUUCGCAAUCUUUCCUUCCUCUAAGGCUAUAUUUCCUACCACCACUUCAUCGGGUAAAAACCAUUUUCAACAAAUUCAGAAACAAGUCACAAUUUCUGUCACCUUCGAAGUACUGAGAUUCUUCUAAACACAUAUCGCACUUAAAAGAAACUCUGAAUCUGUAGUAUCAUUGCCCGUGUCAUUGAUAUCUAAGGAUCUAUGAUAGGCACACAAAAGAAUAUACAAGGAAUAAAUGAAUUCAAGAAUGACUAUUUACAUGAAAUGAAAAUUUAUAAAGAAUGUCAAAGGUCAAAAGAAUCAGAAUGAAAGAUUUUUUACUCGGAUAAAUAAUAAAAGUAUGUUUUAUUGAAAAUAAAAAUGUCUGAACAUGAGCCCACUUCUCAAAAGAAAUCUCAUUACUACUAGGCUUUAGAGCAACAAGAGUGUUCUGAAUAUUACUCCGUAAAAUUUCUAAAGAUUAUAGGAAGUUCUUCUGCAGUCCAAUUGUUUAAAGAACUUCCCGGUUCAUAAGCGAAUGCCCUCAAGGUUUCUUUGUUCAGUCCGUUCCUCUUGUAUGACAUUGAUGGGAUGAUUUUUCAUUUCUAACACCCCCUUCUCCGAGUAAGCUAUCCCUCCUGACACAAAAGUCGGGGAUAUGUAAGGGAACGUCAUUAAUUCCCAUUUAACUUCUUUUUCACUCUGCCGUGACCCUCUUCUCUCUCUCUCUCUCUUUUUCUUUCUCUUUUUAAUAACUUUAACUAAUUAAGGUCUUUUUAUAAUUUUGAAUGCAAAUGAUGCAAUGAAAUGCUAUAAGAUGCAAAUGAAUGCAAAAGGUAUUGAUCUCGAUUCAAUCUCAUUUAGAAAACUUUAUUUAGAAAAAUAAUAUCUUUACAUAUAAAUGGAUUACAAAUACACUUUCGCCCUAAUGCCUAAAGUUUUAACAACAAAACAAACUCUUGGCUACGAUCAGAUUGUAGCUCAUAUUGGUGCUCAAUAUGUCAGCCUGUGCCGCCAAUGUCUGUAAAUAAUCAGCUGCCUCCUGAGUUUGAGCUACGACCUCACCUGUGGGGUAAUCCGUGUAGCUAAGGGCACCUCCUCUAAUACUUGUGAAGUUGUUCUGAUUAUUUUGAGAUAGAUUAGCGAACAUGUAGGUAUCCCAUUCUGCAAUGUGCUACCUAUCCUCCUCNNNNNNNNNNNNNNNNNNNNNNNNNNNNNNNNNNNNNNNNNNNNNNNNNNNNNNNNNNNNNNNNNNNNNNNNNNNNNNNNNNNNNNNNNNNNNNNNNNNNNNNNNNNNNNNNNNNNNNNNNNNNNNNNNNNNNNNNNNNNNNNNNNNNNNNNNNNNNNNNNNNNNNNNNNNNNNNNNNNNNNNNNNNNNNNNNNNNNNNNNNNNNNNNNNNNNNNNNNNNNNNNNNNNNNNNNNNNNNNNNNNNNNNNNNNNNNNNNNNNNNNNNNNNNNNNNNNNNNNNNNNNNNNNNNNNNNNNNNNNNNNNNNNNNNNNNNNNNNNNNNNNNNNNNNNNNNNNNNNNNNNNNNNNNNNNNNNNNNNNNNNNNNNNNNNNNNNNNNNNNNNNNNNNNNNNNNNNNNNNNNNNNNNNNNNNNNNNNNNNNNNNNNNNNNNNNNNNNNNNNNNNNNNNNNNNNNNNNNNNNNNNNNNNNNNNNNNNNNNNNNNNNNNNNNNNNNNNNNNNGGAAAGUUGAACAAACUAAUUGUUGCAAAUCAUUUUUGUUCUCUCUUUUUUUAUCAUGGUUGUAUUGGAGUUUGCUAUUAUUUUGUACGAAAUCAUGGUUUAUUCCUGUUUACUCAGUUGCUGAAUCUGAAGUUGAAGGAUUAGUUAAGUCUAGAAAUCGGAGUAACGAAUCCUUUAGAAUACCCUUCCAUUUCUGUGCAAGCUAUUCUGAAUUGUGAACAUAUUAUUAAAUAAAAUUAAUUUUUGAUGGUUAAAUAACAACUUGAAUCCAAUCAAAUUGGACAGAUAUAUGGUACAUAAACCCCACUAGUUAACGGUUGCAAAUUGGAGGAGGAUUAUUAUUGAACAGAACAGGUAAUUUUUUAUCAUAUUUGUUUGUUUUUUUAUCAAGUUAUUAAUAUAUAUUCAAUAAAAAAAUUUAAAAGUUGUAUCCGCAUUCGCUUAUUAAAGUAAAAUAUAUUCAUUUAAAUUAAAUGAAUUUUUUGGGGCUUUGAAAAAUGAAACAUUUUUUUACUUAUAAAAUAAUAAAACAAAAAUAUCAAUACUUAUAUUAUAAAUAAACAAAAAAAAGCAUAAGCAAUAACAAUUAUAUAACAAUCAAACAAUGAGCUUAUAAACCAAAUUCAGUUUAAUAAAUUGAAUCUCAAACUUUUUGAGGUUGUAAAAUUUUAUAACAUAUGAAUUAUGACAUAUAAACUAAUGGAAUCAUGUAACUUUUUGUUAAUAUAUGAAUAUUAUGUUUGGAUAUGAAAUAUAAUUUUUAAGUUAUUUAUUACUUCUAAUAUUUUGUUUUUAUUAUAGCUGUAAGGCCCAAAUUAUGCCCGGGCCCAGACCACAAGAAUAGAACAAAUAAAAGUCCAUCAGUCCAUUACAAACCCAAUUUCAAUACAACCCAUAGCCCAGUUACAAGCCCAUAACCUACCCAAAUACCCCGGCCCAAAUGGCCCAAAAUUCAAAACAAACUUCAGCCACUCAGAACCCUAGGGUUUCUGCUAGGCGCCGCAGUAGCCACCAAGCAACCCUUCGUCCUCACCGCCAGCGUAGCAUCAUACGACCACCAAGCUCCGUACAUUAGUACCUGCGCACAAAUGCAAAAAAGACAGCACGACAAAAAGAAAAACAGAUAGCAUAAAAGUUUGUUGUAUUUUUUUAUCUUUUUUCGGCUAUAAAGCCACAAAGAUUAUCAAUUGUAAGGGGUUCACAGAGAUUACGCAAAAAAAAGAAAUCAAUACAAACGAAAAGUUUGAAACAAUACUCAAAAAGAUCGAAGGUGGUUCUCCGAUUGAGAUUCUCCCUUUUGUUUUUUUAUUGUUAUUUUCUUUUUUUCUCUUUGCUUUGGUAGAUAAAAAUUUUAGCAAAAUAAAGGAGAAGAAAACUUACCUGCGUUUGAGGGGUUUCAGACUGGUGCCACGACGGAGGCGAAGGCGCUGAGCACAGAUAAACAUCGAAAUCGGCGAAGACCGAGGCGUUGUGGGCGUCGUUCCCCUCUCCCCCUCUUCUCCCUUUCGUCUAUCCUUUCUUUAGUCUGUUGA